RNAcentral lists this transfer RNA (69 nucleotides) under Leptocimbex praiaformis. RNAcentral describes it as "tRNA-Val". The record is from RNAcentral. Lineage: Eukaryota; Metazoa; Arthropoda; Insecta; Hymenoptera; Cimbicidae.
CAGAUUAAAAUUUAUAUAGAAAUUUUUAUUUACAAUAAAGACUUUAUUGUGUAACUCAGUAUAAUUUGA